This 460-nucleotide ribosomal RNA is filed under the name uncultured bacterium. Its description in RNAcentral is "partial 16S ribosomal RNA". It matches the Rfam family "Bacterial small subunit ribosomal RNA", at positions 338 to 795 of the family's 1533-position model. The record is from RNAcentral.
CCUACGGGGGGCAGCAGUGAGGAAUAUUGGUCAAUGGGCGGAAGCCUGAACCAGCCAAGUAGCGUGCAGGAUGACGGCCCUACGGGUUGUAAACUGCUUUUAUACGGGACUAACUCGGUUUACGUGUAGGGCUUUGCAUGUAACGUAUGCAUAAGGACUGGCUAAUUCCGUGCCCGCAGCCGCGGUAAUACCGAAGGUCCGGGCGUUAACCGGGUUUAUUGGGUUUAAAGGGAGCCUAGGCCGCAAGUCAAGCGUGCUGGUAAAUGUUCGGGCUCAACCCGGGCCUUGCAGCGCGAACUGGCGUGCUUGAGUCCGCGGAAAGCAGGCGGAAUUCGUCGUGUAGCGGUGAAAUGCUUAGAUAUGACGAAGAACCCCGAUUGCGAAGGCAGCUUGCUGCAGCGGAACUGACGCUGAUGCUCGAAAGCGCGGGUAUCGAACAGGAUUAGAUACCCGAGUAGUC